Molecule: non-coding RNA, 439 nt
Organism: Myodes glareolus (Bank vole)
Lineage: Eukaryota; Metazoa; Chordata; Mammalia; Rodentia; Cricetidae
Source: RefSeq, a predicted model, not a curated record
UCUGAGAUUCCUGGAGGCAGGAUCGCCAUUUUGAACUGCGGUAGAGAGAGCUUCAUUCAAAAAGAGUUUCCCAGCACUAUUCUGGGACCCGUACAACACAAUGAAACAAACGAGAUGACAACCAAAAGCUUAACUGUCGACCCUGGAUGAGCCAUGGAUCCUCCUUUACCACCUCAUGUCCUCACUAAUAAUCAGGCUCUUCCAGGUCACCGGUGGUAACGUUCCCGGGCCCCUGAACACUCCAACCAAUGCAUCCUAGGCUACGCUGAUGUCACCUAGUGUGGUGAUCCCGGAGCACGAAUCGCGCGCACAAGAGGCUCGCUUCAGGGCAGAGGACGAAAGGAGGGCAGAGGGUGUGGUUGCGUGUGCAAGGACCUAGGCGGGCCCAGCGCGCCCUUCCGGAGUCCGCCGGCCCACCCGCCCGGCCGGGCCCCGCACC